GAUGAACGCUGGCGGCGUGCCUAACACAUGCAAGUCGAACGGGUGUACAGAAGGGAAGAUUUCGGUCGGAAGAUCUGUGCAUGAGUGGCGGACGGGUGAGUAACGCGUGGGCAACCUGGCCUGUACAGGGGGAUAACACUUAGAAAUAGGUGCUAAUACCGCAUAACGGGAGAAGCCGCAUGGCUUUUUCCUGAAAACUCCGGUGGUACAGGAUGGGCCCGCGUCUGAUUAGCCAGUUGGCAGGGUAACGGCCUACCAAAGCGACGAUCAGUAGCCGGCCUGAGAGGGCGGACGGCCACACUGGGACUGAGACACGGCCCAG
RNAcentral lists this ribosomal RNA (322 nucleotides) under uncultured bacterium. RNAcentral describes it as "bacterial SSU rRNA". It matches the Rfam family "Bacterial small subunit ribosomal RNA", at positions 28 to 334 of the family's 1533-position model. The record is from RNAcentral.